Physcomitrium patens is the source of this 363-nucleotide non-coding RNA. NCBI's taxonomy places the organism in Eukaryota, Viridiplantae, Streptophyta, Bryopsida, Funariales, Funariaceae. The record is from RefSeq and is a predicted model, not a curated record.
CUCCCCUUUCCAAUGGGGAAGGAAGUAUGAAAGGGGAGUGAAGUGUGGCCACAGCAGCAGCCUCUCCUGCCCCCCUGCAGUCAUGCUCACAGUGUGUGACUCUCUCUGGCCCAGGGGGAGAGCAGCUUUGUGUGGGAGCAGUUUCUUCCUCCAUGGAGGACUGGAGGAAUGGAGGAGGGGUGGUGUGUCCUGUGGAAGGGUACCAUUAAAUUUAUUUAUUGGGAGGGUUGUGUGGCAGAUGUCAAAUGGGGUUUCAUCAUUUGGUCACAUGGGUCUUAAGAUAUCAUCCUCAAGUGAUGACUAUGCUUAGUGUGUGAAAAUGAAGAUUUGGGGCACAUAAUAAUAUCCACAUAUUCAUCAUCA